Molecule: ribosomal RNA, 187 nt
Filed under: uncultured bacterium
Lineage: Bacteria
Description: partial 16S ribosomal RNA
Rfam family: Bacterial small subunit ribosomal RNA
Source: RNAcentral
CCUACGGGAGGCAGCAGUAGGGAAUAUUGGGCAAUGGCCGAGAGGCUGACCCAGCCAUGCCGCGUGCAGGAUGAAGGCUUUCUGAGUCGUAAACUGCUUUUGCCAGGGAAGAAUAAGGGGGAUGCGUCCUCCGACGACGGUACCUGGUGAAUAAGCACCGGCUAACUCCGUGCCAGCAGGCGGUAAU